Molecule: transfer RNA, 72 nt
Filed under: Muntiacus reevesi (Reeves' muntjac)
Lineage: Eukaryota; Metazoa; Chordata; Mammalia; Artiodactyla; Cervidae
Also listed under: 5 other names
Rfam family: tRNA
About the family: Transfer RNA (tRNA) molecules are approximately 80 nucleotides in length. Their secondary structure includes four short double-helical elements and three loops (D, anti-codon, and T loops).
Source: Rfam by way of RNAcentral
UCCCUGGUGGCUCAGAGGUUAAAGUGUCUGCCUCCAAUGCAGGAGACCUGGGUUUGAUCCCUGGGUUGGGAA